RNAcentral lists this small nuclear RNA (159 nucleotides) under Daucus carota subsp. sativus. RNAcentral describes it as "U1 spliceosomal RNA". It matches the Rfam family "U1 spliceosomal RNA". From Rfam's summary of the family: U1 is a small nuclear RNA (snRNA) component of the spliceosome (involved in pre-mRNA splicing). Its 5' end forms complementary base pairs with the 5' splice junction, thus defining the 5' donor site of an intron. Lineage: Eukaryota; Viridiplantae; Streptophyta; Magnoliopsida; Apiales; Apiaceae. The record is from Rfam by way of RNAcentral.
AUACUUACCUGGAUGGGGUCUAUGGGUGAUCAUGAAGGCCCAUGGCCUGGGUAAGUGGCCUCCAUUGCACAGCGGAGGGGUGCUUGCCUAAGGUCUACCCAAGUGGUGGAGCCUACAUCAUAAUUUGUGACAGGGGGGCCUGCGUUCGCGCAGCCCCUG